ACAAAAGCUUUUUUGAAAGCUACAAUAAAAAUUAUCAAGUAAUUA
This is a non-coding RNA of Enterobius vermicularis (human pinworm), 45 nucleotides long. Lineage: Eukaryota; Metazoa; Nematoda; Chromadorea; Rhabditida; Oxyuridae. The record is from Rfam.